UGAACGGUGGCGGCAGGCCUUAGACAUGCAAGUCGAACGGUAACAGCAGAGCUUGCUCUGGCUGACGAGUGGCGGACGGGUGAGUAACGCGUAGGAAUCUACCCAGUAGCGGGGGAUAGCCCGGGGAAACCCGGAAUAAUACCGCAUACGCCCCACGGGGGAAAGAGGGCCUCUUCUUGAAAGCUCUCACUAUUGGAGGAGCCUGCGUUGGAUUAGCUAGUUGGUGGGGUAAAGGCCUACCAAGGCGACGAUCCAUAGCUGGUCUGAGAGGACGAUCAGCCACACUGGAACUGAGACACGGUCCAGACUCCUACGGGAGGCAGCAGUCAGGAAUAUUGUGCAAUGGGGGAAACCCUGACACAGCCAUGCCGCGUGUGUGAAGAAGGCCUUAGGGUUGUAAAGCACUUUCAGUAGGGAGGAACUAGCAGCGUUAAUACCGCUGUGAGAUGACGUUACCUACAGAAGAAGAUCCGGCUAACUCCGUGCCAGCAGCCGCGGUAAUACGGAGGGAUCGAACGUUAAUCGGAAUUACUGGGCGUAAAGCGCGCGUAGGUGGUUUGUUAAGUGGGAUGUGAAAGCCCCGGGCUCAACCUGGGAACUGCAUUCCAAACUGACAAACUAGAGUACGAUAGAGGGGGGUAGAAUUCAGAGUGUAGCGGUGAAAUGCGUAGAUAUUCUGAGGAAUACCGGUGGCGAAGGCGGCCCCCUGGAUUGAUACUGACACUGA
This 727-nucleotide ribosomal RNA is filed under the name gamma proteobacterium IMCC14432. RNAcentral describes it as "bacterial SSU rRNA". It matches the Rfam family "Bacterial small subunit ribosomal RNA", at positions 30 to 749 of the family's 1533-position model. The record is from RNAcentral. Lineage: Bacteria; Pseudomonadati; Pseudomonadota; Gammaproteobacteria.